GACGAACGCUGGCGGCGUGCCUAAUACAUGCAAGUCGAGCGAAGCGGCGGAUGGGUGAGUAACGCGUGGGUAACCUGCCCUUAAGUUUGGGAUACCAUUUGGAAACAGAUGCUAAUACCGGAUACUAAAGGAUGGACCUGCGAUGCAUUAGCUAGUUGGUAAGGUAACGGCUUACCAAGGCGAUGAUGGAUAGCCGAGUUGAGAGGCGGAUCGGCCAAAUUGGGAUUGAGACACGGCCAAAACUCCUACGGGAGGAAGCAGUAGGGAAUCUUCCACAAUGGACGAAAGUCUGAUAGGGCAACGCCGCGUGAGUGAGGAGGGUUUUCGGAUCGUAAAGCUCUGUUGUUAGUGAAGCGGUAAUCAACCAGAAAGUCACGGCUAACUACGUGCCAGCAGCCGCGGUAAUUC
This 408-nucleotide ribosomal RNA is filed under the name uncultured bacterium. RNAcentral's name for it is "partial 16S ribosomal RNA". It matches the Rfam family "Bacterial small subunit ribosomal RNA", at positions 28 to 526 of the family's 1533-position model. The record is from RNAcentral.